RNAcentral lists this transfer RNA (89 nucleotides) under Candidatus Peregrinibacteria bacterium CG_4_10_14_0_2_um_filter_41_8. RNAcentral describes it as "tRNA-Leu". It matches the Rfam family "tRNA". Rfam says of the family: Transfer RNA (tRNA) molecules are approximately 80 nucleotides in length. RNAcentral also lists the same sequence under 2 other names. The record is from RNAcentral. Lineage: Bacteria; Candidatus Peregrinibacteriota.
GGGCAAGUGGCGGAAUUGGUAGACGCGCUAGCUUGAGGGGCUAGUGGCCAUCUAUGGCCGUGGAGGUUCAAGUCCUCUCUUGCCCACCA